Molecule: long non-coding RNA, 23111 nt
Filed under: Xyrichtys novacula (pearly razorfish)
Lineage: Eukaryota; Metazoa; Chordata; Actinopteri; Labriformes; Labridae
Source: RNAcentral
GUUUGUUUUCCUCAGACAGAUGUUCGGAUUAAUUUCGAUUUCCUCGCGAGGAAACAGAUUUUACAGGAGAGGAAGAAGAAGACGAAGGAGAGGAAGAGGAAGAGGAAGAGUAAAGUGUAGGUGCUUCUUAAACUCUCAGAUAUAGUAGGAGUAGUAACAAACACGCCACGUUAAAGAGACAGAGGGAGAGAGGAUCGAAGAGAGAGGAGAGAAACAGAGCAGCCAUCAUGGAGGUCUUUAAACUGACCCUAGAUCGAAUACCGCUCUCUGAUUGGACGCUGCAGAGGAGCUUAAUAACAGAGAAAAGAUGGACUCUUCAGAUAAGAAACAAACUCGACACUAGUGUUGUGUCGUUCGUGAAUGAUUCAUUAAAAAGAACCAAAUCUUUUAAGUGAACAUACUGCACCAAAUCACUUCCUCGAGUGAUUCGUUUGUUUCUCACUUCAGUUGAGCUGAAGGGGUCGCAGGCCUCUCCUGCCAAGCGUCAAGUGAUUCGGUGAUUUGGUGAACGAAUCUUUUUAGUGAACUGAUUCUAGUGAUUCAGUACAUCUAAAAGAACCGCCGUGCCCAUCACUAACGAGCCCAGAGAGUAAAAAAUCAGAGCAUCUCUCUUAUUCAUUAACAAACAAAAAUAAUGAGCCUCAUGAAGUCCCUGAAACUCUAAACCUUUUGUUUCCAUAGUUACCAUCAGUGUGUGAAUCUGACAUGAAAUGCAGAAGCGCUUAGAGAGGUCAGAAGAAUCGCAUCUAUCCAUGAAGCUCUGGAGGGAGGAGUGAAGGCCGCUCAAUUAAGUCGAAGUAGAUUGGGAAGAGGAGGAGGAGGAUUUUUGAGGAGGAGGAAGAAGAGGAUGAGACGAGUGUACAGUCUGGGUGUUUGCGGAUGUUGAUGAGUUUUCAGUGUGAUUAUCGUGAAGCUUCAUGAAGAGACUGAAACACGACAGUAACCCAGUUUAUCCUGUCAGAACAUCACACUACAUUACUGACACACACACACUUCCACACACACGCUGUGUUAAACAGGAUUAAACAGCUUGAGUAUAAACUCCGCUGUCACUGCUGCACCGUAAAAACAUUCAAAUACAGAAUUAGUUUUUAUUAAUAUCGUUUUUUUCACCCAUUUAGUCGCAGCAGGCCCUUCCUCUGACGGCUCAUUAAACAGUUUUCAUUAGUAAAGAAAUCUUAUGUGAUGAUAUGGGCUGGAUUUAUUCUCUGAUACUGUAAGUUAAAUUAAUUUACAGUAUCUCUCAUUUACCAUCAUCCCUCUUCGUUUAAGUCUGUUUACUUUAGGAACGUCAAACUUUUGAACCUUUUUUCGUAGGAGAAUCUAAGUUUGCUCAGCCAGCUGUCUUCAAAUCAAUAAAAACAAACACUGUGGUGCAACAUCUUGCAACAUGGCUGCCUGCAGAUGGGAAAGCAGAGAAAACAUCAGUUUUUAUGAAGGACCGGACAUGUUAAUAUUUCCCGUUCAGACCGGAGUGUCUCUCUUUCUUACCUUGGUGUGUUGUACCAUCCUGCAGUCGUCCUCAGAGGAGUCACAUGACGUUACAUGCAUGAAAGUGACAGCUGUUAGGCCCUCAAAGCAGAAGUCUUCGUUUAAUAUAGAUGCAUGUUUGUAGAUCUUCUUGCAGCAGGUCAGGUUAGAUCAGAGUGUGUCCCUGCAGAGUCCACUUUGAGUCUUUGAGUCCGUGUAAAUAUAAAAAAGGAGUUUAUAUUUAACAGGUAGUCAGAGCGUGAACUAUAUUAGAUCAUGUGACGAGUUUAAACGAGACUUUUCACGAACCGCCAUGUUUUCUGUUUUUAUUUUCAGGCUUUAAGGUUCUGCUUUUAUUUUUUUCAAAGACGGAACAACAACAGCCUGAAUGUCUGGAGUCUUAAAGAUUACCCCACCUACACACACACACGCACACACACACAUACAUACACAAGUGCAGGCACACACUUAGUGUAAAUGUCUGUGUGCUCUUUACUCCGGCUAAGCUGCAGGGAGCUGCAGAACGGCUUUGGCUGAUGAUAUUUGGCCACGUUUGAUGUUCGACUCUCUCUGUGUGUGUGUGUGUGUGUGUGUGUGUGUGUGUGUGUGUGUGUGUGUGUGUGUGUGUGUGUAGCCUGCAGAGAGAGAAAUAGGACAGGAGGAAACAUACAGUCUGUCCUGGACUCACCUGGAAAAAAGCAGCAGGUUUUUGAGCUCACUCCUGUGUGUUUCCUUCUUUACCUGCAUCGACACGCACACGUACACACACACAUGUACACACAUCUGUACCUGCAGCUUGAAUUAUUAUCCACACCCACUUUCAUUCCCAGUUUGUGUAUUUAUAGAAAUGAUCUGGAGAGGUGUUAUUAUCUUGCUGAAUAAAAUAACCACCCCUGCAUUUAUGUCAGCUCUGCUUUAACUCAAUCUCUCUCCGCAUGCGUUUAUUUUUUAUCCUCCUGUUUGAUAUUUUAUUGCAUAUUAAGAUUUAAAACGCUCGUCCCUUUUGCCUCCUUAUAAGAUUCCUAACGGUUAACCUGCUCCUUGUAUCAAAUAUAAUUUAUACAGUCUUUUCAUGUGAUUGUUUUCGCACAGUGUCUGAUAAGGACAAAUGCUGCAAAGUCAAAAACUACGACAAAGUAUCAGGGCCACAUUAAGAAAAACAUUAAGACUUCUAGAUGAAAGUCAUUGACUUAAGAGAAUAAAAUCAUUACUAACGAGAAUAAAGUCGUAAUAAAGUUAUUACUUAUGGGAAUAUAGUCAGAAUAAAGUCCUUAUAUUCUAACCUGCUGUUUAAAAUGACACUUGUUGAAAUCAGAGCCGUGGAUCAUUUUGUGAAAAUGUACUUCAAUAUAUGUUUCUCAAACAAGGAGAUACUUCGUCUUUAGGCACAUCAACACCACAUUAUCAUAAGUGUAAGAGUAGUAGUUGAUUACAAAUGGAUUCUUGUAAGUAAUUACUGUAGUACGACUUUAUUCUCAUAAGUAAUUACUUUAUCAGGACUUAAAUUUCAUAAGGAAUUACUUUUAAAAUUUUAUUUUUUCUUUAGUAGUAUCAUUAGUAGUAUCUAACUUUAUUCUUAUGAGUAAUUACUUUAUUACAACUUUAUUCUCAUUAGUAAUGACUUAUUCUCGUAAAUUAAUGACUUUAAUCUCAAACUCUUUUUUUUCUCUUUUUUUUCUUGAAGUCUUAAUUUUUUGUUCUUAAUUUGGCCCUAAUAAUCCAUCGUCAAAAACAUGUGCAAAAAGUCUGAGAUAAAUGCAUGGGUGAAAACUAACGCAGAGCAGCUUCAGUCUGCUACAGGUCACAGUUAGCUGUGCAGGUAGCAGCUGCCUGUGAGAUGUUGGGAGGAUGGUGUUGUUUAUUUCUCCAACACCCACAGGAGCUUCAGAAAACCUGAGUUAUCAGGUCCACGGUCUUGUGUGCUGAGUGGAAAAGUGGGUGUGAUGGUAGAGUCACCGGAGUGUCUUAAAUUUAGUUCAAGUUGGUUGGAGUAAUAAUAGACGACCAAAAAUGAGAAAUAUCAUCAUUCCUUUAGCUUGUUCUGGACUUUGACAGGAGGCGUAGUCGGGAUAGGAGACGAGUAGAAAGGCUGUCAGGAUCGGUUCUUAACAGUUUAGCGUAGCAGCCGAAGAAGCUUGGAGUCAAACCUGCAGGAUUCCUCUGCACUGCUGACUCCAGCUUCCUCCGGCUACAGACCUCAGUUAGACGAGGUAGAGGCAGCUGACUCUGCCCAGGUUCAGGCUCCGAGGACAUGGGCAUGUUAGAGACGAAGCUCUUUUGGCUGUGAACCUGCUCAGGUCGCUCAGGUCUCCUGAGGUAAAGAGAAACGAUGCCUGACAUCCCCUCCACUUCUAUCUCAUCCUCGCUAUUACUGGUGUCAGACUCUCCCGGCUGUACGCUCUUAUAUCAAACUCUGCUGCUUUCCUAUCUUUAUGUCUGUGCUACUAUAAACCUGUUUCCUUUUGGCACCAAAGGGCCUGAAGUUUGUUUUGUUUUUCGGCCUUGCAUUGACCGUGUAUUUGCAGCUCAUUUCCUGUUAAUGUGGUUGUUCGGUUUUUUUACAUUUUUCAGGCGAAUUGAAUUUCAAUCGUUGCGAAUCUCGUCAGCCACCCUACUUUAGAUGAUACUGUAUGUCAGAGCUGCUGACACUGUAUAUAUAAGAUUGCAUUUCUUCUGAGUAUCCACCAGGUGCAUGAUGGGAAAUAAUCUUGUGCAAGGUAUAAUCUGCAAAUAGUGACCCUGAGAGAUGGCGGUCACCGAACCGAGGGCUGCGACACGUUUGAAUGUGUUCCUGUAUCUAAACCACCAUCACAAUGAUCUGAAGGAACUGUGACCUGUGUGAGUGUGAGUGUGUGUGUGUGUGUGUGUGUGUGUGUGUGUGUGUGUGUGUGUGUGAGUGUGAGUGAGUGUGUGAGAGAGAGAGGAGAUAAAGAAUCAUCUGAAGCACAGGAAUGCCGCCCUUCAAGGAUGAGUAAACACAGAGCUGACCUGCAGCACCACCGUGUCCGUGUGUGUGUGUGUGUGUGUCUGUGUGUGUCUGUGUGUGUUGCACAGCAUCUCAGUGUGAUCUUCAUGGGCGAUAAAGCCUCUUUAAAGCUUCAUCUCCCUGCCAUAAGUCUCUGGUGUGUGUCUGUGUGUGUGUCUGUGUGUGUGUCUGUGUGAAUAUCAGACAGGGAGUGUCCUGCGGUGUUGCAGACUGUGUGUGUUUGUGAAUGUAUGUAUGACUGUCUUUGCUUCCUGCAUGGCUGCACACGUGUGUCUCUUUUUUCCAUAUUUGUGUUGGUGUGUGUGUGUGUGUGUGUGUGUGUGUUUGUGUGUGUGUGUGUGUGUGUCGUUGUGCCUCGGGCUGUUUCCUCUUCUUCUCUUGUCUCUGAGGCUCUCUCAGUCUCUGAACAGUGACUGUCUAAUCUGACCUCACAGCUCCGUCUCUCUGUUCCUAUUUAAGCAGUCAGAUAGACAAGUCCCCUCCCUCUGAAGCUCCGCCCCCACAGGUCACAGAUGCUUAUCGCCAUGGCGAUGUCUCUUACUACUGACCGACAACAAUCGUAUGAUGACUCAGAGUCUGCAGCCCAGAGAUUUAUUCUCUUUACGCUGACAGACUGUUUUAAAUGUAUGUCCUGGAACAAAGAGGUGGUACUGUCUCAUCUGUCUCAUUUGUCUCUCAUUUGUCUCUCCUUUCUCACAAGUCUCACUAAUCUCAUGUUUGUCUCAUCAGUCUUAAGGGUCUUACAGGUUUAAUGAGUGAAGUCUCACCUCUCUCAGAAGUCUCACUUGUCUUGUUAGUCUCAUCUGUCUCUCAUCAGUUUCAUUUGUCUUUCAUGUUACAUUAAUCUUACCUGUCUCACCUGUAUCAUAAUUCUUAUCUCUCUGAUCAUUCUCAAUAGUCUCAUGAUUCCUGCCUGUCCUAUCAGUCUCACCUGUCUAAUCAGUGUCACCCGAGUCUUACCUGUCUCAUCAGUCUUAAGGGUCUUAAAGGUUUAAUGAGUGAAGUCUCACUUGUCUCAAAGUCUCACUUGUCUUGUUAGUCUCAUAUCAUAGUCUCCUAUCAGUUUUACCUGUCUCAUCAGUCUCAUCUGUCCUAUCAGUCUUACCUGUAACAUUAGGCUUAGUUUUACCUUUAUUAUCAGUCUCAGUCAUCUCAGUAGCUUCCUCAUUUCUCAUUCUUUUAAGUGUUACCUGUCCUAUCAGUGCAUCAUUAGUCUUACCUGUGGUGUUAGCCAGUUCUUAUUUUAACGUGUUCUAUAACAUUCAUUUACUUUUUAAGUCCUGACUGUCUUAUCAUCUUGAUGACUCACUUCUGUGUCAAUGCCUUGUCUCAUCAGUCUUGUAAGUCUCAUGUACCUUACCUGUAUCAUAUUCUAUCUACUGGGAUCACUGUAUCAUCUUUGCUUUAUUUAUUUAUAGUUCUCUCGUGUUCUCAUAGUUUCUCAUCUCAUGUCACUUUUUUUUUCACAAGUUUCUUAUUUCUCUCUGCUCUCUGCUUAGUCUCUACAGACACUGUAAGUCCUUUUUUGACAUUGGCUUUCCUUUCUUAGCAGUCUUGUCAGUCUCACCUGUCUCAUUUACCUUACCUGUGUCAUAUUCUAUAUGCUUCGAUCUCAUCACUGUAUCAUUACUUUCUCAAUAAUUUCACCCGUCUUAUAACUCUCAUCCAUCUUAACACAUAUCAGUCUCACCUGUCUCCUUUAUUGCAGGUUUCUUAUAGGUCUUCUUUCCUCAUAGUUUCUCAUCUCAUGUCCCUUUUUUACGAGUCUUUCCUGUCUGAUUUCUCUCUACUUUAGUCUCUACAGACACUGUGAGUUCUUUUUUGCCAUUGGCUUUCCUUUCUUAUCAGCCUUGUUCGUCUCACCUGUCUCAUUAGUCUCACCUGUGUCAUCACAUUAAGUUGUAUGAAUUGGUUUUUGGUUGAAAUUUGGUUUUAUGCUAAAAUAUGUAAUUAAUGAAUAACAAUUAGGCUUAUCUUGCUCUUCACUUUGAGCUCGUUUCUUAUCUAUUAAUUACAAAUCCGUUAUAGUCUCACACUGACACACAUGCUGCUGACUAUUAGGGAUUUUCCAUCACACAGAGAUUUUACAGAGAAAACUGCAUUGUAAUCAUAAUUUUGUAUGUAUUUUAUGUUAUAUACACAUAUAUUAAUGUAUAUGAAUAAUGUAUAUGAUCCAGCUUAACCUGCAUGAAUCACCCAGACUGCUCUUUUUCUGUCCUGGUCUCUAAAACUCUGUCUGUGAGUGUCAUCAGUAUCUGUAAUUCAAAUCACACACACACACACACACACACACACACACACACACACACACACACACACACACACGCUCUGUCCUACUUAUUUCUCUUUUGGUCCGUCCAUUAUCUCUGCGCUUUUUGCUCGCCCGUCAUCUCUUUCAUCUCUCCCUCUCUCUAUGCCCUCGUUCCUCUGCUGCCUUUGUCAUCCUCUCUAUCACACACACGCACCACGCACACACACAUGCACACAUGCACAUGCACACACCCCAAGGGUAAGAUCUCAAACAUCACACUUGUGUGAAUAACUGCGAACUCUCCACUCAAAACUGAUAAUAAAAUACACACACUCACACACACACAGAGGAAGCAUGAGAGUGCAUGUGUGUUUGUGUCCAUGAGUGAAUUUGAUCAAAGGAUUUUAAAAAAAAAAGUGCAGUUUUUAUUUUUUUUAAUGUUGUAUAAACAGUCAAACUGUUUCUGCAAUGAUACACUGUGUUCCAGGAAGUAGCCACGGCCUCCCCCUGUUAUUAUCCAUCCACACAGACAGAAACACCGAGUCCUCUGACGUCCUCAAACAGCAGGGUGCCUGUUUGGGAGCUGAUGUGUUUUCACCAAGAAAAACAAGAACAUAAGUUACAGAAAUAUCUGAAAUAAACAAGUUGGAGCUGAUAGAUGUUUAAGUUGUCGGUAUUUUUUCGCAAAGUUAGAAGAGAUUAAAAAAAGAACAUGAAUGUCCGACACAGUAAUUACAAGGAUACAUCUCUUAAACAGUUCGGCUUCAAAUUUGUAUGAUGAUGGAAGGUUACCUACCUGGUAGCUAGACAGUAUUGACUUAGUAGUUAUCAUGUAGUUACCAGAUAAUUUCAUGUUGUUACUAGGUAAUUACCUGUUAAAUACCUGGUAAUAAGUGUACCGUAAAAGAAAGCGUUACCAAUAGUGCUGCUGAAAAAACCCAUAUGGCCCCCUAGUUUUGGGGAGGAGGACACUUUCACAUCAAUAAUUCGAUUUUCUCAGCUGCAUGUAUACACAGACAAGGUGAAAAAAACAAAAUUUUCCACGGUCCAAACAGAACAGGAACAUUGUUAGGAAUACGUCAUCAUUGCAAAGAGUCUGUCACUUUGUCCACAAACAUGUUGUAAGCAUUUACAGCGAGUUUCGGAUGUCAGAUCCGCCAUCCCUCUUUUCUGACAGGAAAGACUCCAGGCGGUAAAGAACAUGUGAAUAAACAACCGUGGGAAAUUUCAGGGGCAGAGCUCCUGGAAAAGUCUGAAGAAGUGUAUGAGUGUGUGUGUUAGUGUGUGUGUGUGUGUGUGUGUGUGUGUGUGUGUGUGUGUUCCCUGCAGCAGUACUGUGUGAGACGCUGAAAAGUCUUUCAGUCAAAGAGGAUCUCUCAGUAACUCUUUAUGUGUGUGUGUGUGUGUGUGUAUUAAUGUGGGUGUUAGAAGGGACUUUAUUGUCUCCCUAACAACAGACUCUGUUGGAGGUUAAUUAGCCAAUUAGCAGCGUUACCAUGGAAACGCUAAAGAGUAAGAAGCUCUUUCUAUAGAAAACAGUCUGGUUGUUUUUUUCAGAGUUUCUUCAAACAGGAGGAAAAACUGUCUGAGGAAAAAUAAGAGCUUAUUUAUACUUCCUAAUGCAUCACACGCUGUGUACUAAUUUAUUUAUAUGUUUGGAGGGCAACAGCGGGGCAACAGUAAACAGCUUAUAUGACUGAACAUGUUUAAAGGUCAGAGUGUUUUAAGAGGCAAAAUAAAAACAUGUCAGAACCACACACACACACACACUGAAUUCACGAGAUAAACAAACCGAGACUGAACCGAGAAAACAAACCGAACAGAGCAGAGGGAGGUUUGCUUUUAGGUUUUAUCUUCUUCUUCUUCUCUGCUGUGGCAGAGGAGCAGGGAGGAGAGCAGGGAGGAUGUUUGAGUUUGAGAGAAGAGAGAAACUCUGCAAAACACUGACACACACCGAAACACAGUCAGACACAACGUGACGUAACUGAGAGAACAACGAGACAUGAAGGACCAACAGGCCGUGAAACCACACACUAACACACACUAACACACACACCAAAGUGCUGGAGCUGAGGGUGUUGGAUCAGCGUCUGAUGGAUGAAUCUCAGAGCCGCUGAUUCCAUUAUAUAUAAAUACACCUGCUUUGAUAUUGAGCUGCAGAAUAAAACGAUCUGUCUGGACUUUAAAAUCAGAGACAGCGAAAUCUGACGAUGGCGCUGAUAUGAUCUGUGGUGUUGAAGCCAAAACUGGUACUGAAUCUGUCCAAUCUGCUGAUUCUGUCUGUGGUGUUGAUGUCCGUAGUGCUGGAGGAGUUUGUAGUGCUAGAACUGGUACUCAAUCAGUAACUAGUACUGAAACUGUACCUGAUACUGAAACUGAAUCUGUAUCUGGUGCUGAAACUGCCUAAGGUGCUGAUUCUGUCUGUGGUUCUGAUAUUGUCUGUAGUGCUGGAACCGAUUUUAGUGCUGGAACUGUCCAAGGUGCUGAAGGUGUAAGUGACGCUGAAUCUCUCUGUGGUGCUGGAACUGUCAGUGGUGCUGAAACCGUCCAUGACUAUCCGUCAAUAAUGUCUCUGAUCCAUAAUCUGUCUGUGGUCAUUGUUAGGAUGAGUUUCUUUAGCCAGUCAUGUCAGCCUUUAGAGUGGUGGAGCUGUGUCACUCAAAUACCCCAGACACUUUGGUGUUAGAUUGCUGGAGCCGGGGGCCUCCUACAACCAUCCCUGAGCAAGGAACCCUGUACACAUUAUUUACACCAUGUAGGUCCCCAAAAUAUGUUUGCCAUGAUAUUUCCUUCUUGGGACCUUCCACAUGUUCAUCUAAGGCUUUUGAAAUAUGUUGUCCUUUGUUUUUACCAUACAUGGUUUUCUCUUAGGGUCAACUAAAUACCAACAGUAUGUUUAGGAUUGUGAAUCGCUAUAUAUACUUGAAUGGUCUUGGACCACUCUUGGCUACACUCAUGUUGGCCACACUUGGGGGUGGACCGCUUUUUGCUACACUUGGGGUGGUCACUCUUUGCUACACUUGGAGAGGACCACUGUUGGUCACACUUGUGGCCUGCUGAAGCUGUAACCCAGAUAUGUAAUCAGUAAAGCUUGUCAAAAUGAUCAUUCGUGUGGACCUUCGAUUCUUUCUAGUGUGAACCUGGGCUAGGCAUCCUUACAAUUUGGCGUCACGAACAGGAUUAAUCACCAAAAAAAGGUAAGCAUCUUUAAUUAUUCAAUCCACUGGUGAUUGUAUUGCUUACCUGAUUUGAGCAUUAAAAAAGAUACCUCUGCUAUGGGAUGCCUAGUAGCCCUUGUACAAUUGGCUUCUAAACUUUUGAUAGUCUGAAUGGAUACUGUAUUUAAUUUAAUACAACAUUAAUAGUUCCCUGAAUUUGCUUGCUGAGAUGUGUCGAUAUUAAUCAAUAUUAGGGUGGGCCCACUCGCAGUAGAUGGAUAGUGUGAAUAUAGGUGUCCAGAGAGACAAGAAUAGACACUGAAGUCCUUGGAGGACAUGUUGAUAAAUAUGGAAUUGGUACCUCUGUUUUUUUAUAAGAAGACGUCCUUGGAUGACGUGGUUGUGUUAUUGGUACUUCUGUCUAAGUGUCUGACGGCCUGACCGCUCGACGGCCCCGAUUCAGUCAUUAGCAGAGUGGUACUACUGGUUUUUUAUAUGAAGACGUCGUUGGACGACGCGGUUGUGUUAUUGUUGUUACUGUUUAAUAGUCUGACGGACUGACCGCACGACGGCCCCGAUUCAGUCAUUAACAGGUACUUCUGUCUCUGUUUGAACGGACUGACCGCUUGACGGCCCCGAUUUAUUCAGUGGCAGUUGUAGUGUGAUUAUGUAUCUACGUAUUGCAUAAUAUCGACCCAUACCAGUCUCAAUUCUUCAGGAUGUAUUUUUUUUUAAAGAUGGAAUUUGACCUAAAGUACAGAUGGAUGAACCACACGAACCUUUUGACGCUUUGCAUACUCACAAAUAACCAUAGAUUUACUAAUCGCAAGUAAUAAUCCUCGCACUGAGGUCACAGACCAGUAAAUUCAGAAAAGCCACGUGGUAAAAAAAUAAAAAUAAAAAUAAAAAUAGCUAAAUAAAUAAAUACAAAGAAAAAUCAAAGCUAGAUCUACCAAGAAAAGGAUGAAAAGUGAUCAAUGAAAUGCUUGAAACUGUUCCACAGUUAGACAUCGUUCCAAUCAUGUUUGUAGUUUAGAUGUCAGCCAGGGAGUGGGUGCAAGUGAAGCUGGGGUUCUAUUACGAUGAACCUUUUUAUAAAUUUGGCUGAGUGCUCUGACGAUGGAUUUUCUAUGGACAACAGUUUUAAUAAGAGAAAAGAAAAAAAAAAACUAAUAAGUAUCAGAAUGAUAGGAAAGUAUAAAAAAUAACAAAAAUAGAAACAGAAGGAAAUAAGAUGUUGUACGAGAGUAUCUAAUGAAUAACAUAACCAUUGAUAGUUUUCUAUGGAAUCAAGACUACAUGACAAAGGUGUAGAUUUAGAUGGCUCAUCAGUUUCCUCUGAAUCUUAGUAAGCUUAAAAAAGAAAAACAAAAAGUUUACUCUAUGACUUAAGAAACUGUUCAAGUAAAAUAUGAAGAAGCAAGCUUAUUUUUACACCCUCUUGCAGCUCCUAGGUUCAGUGUCUCCUCAUGUAAACCUACCUAGUGCGUCUGUGAAGUAUGUAAGUUAUGAAGAUGACAGUUCACUAUUUGUACAUGUUAAAUUACGAUGAACAGCCCUGCCCAAUGCCAACAAAAGUAGUCCCCUUGUUAUACUCAGAUGUUGGGAGGGUCAAAUCUUUCAACAUAUAUCCUUUAAGAUAAAUGUAUUCAUCAAUGUAUCCAGAAUUGUAAUACAAUUUAUGACUUAACAGAAAGUGUAUAUCUGACACAGGUCAAAGCCUUAGUGACAGAGUGAGACUGUAAAAGGAUACCUGGCAUGCACAUUCAAGGCAUAUUUCCCAUACUUAUAGUAAGUCAUGACUGACAGAUGCCUUCACUGUCAUGUAACUGGACCCGUAGUAGGACAGCCUCCUGUGGGAAGGAGCAGGAGUCCUCAAAAAAGUAAUGUGAACCAAGUACAACUUCACUUUAUGCCUCAAAUAACCUCUGAUCUCUUUUUGCAGAAUGAUUCUUAGAGGAUGGGGUAUGGUGCCAAUCAAGGAACCAAGGGUUUUCAGGAGGAGGAACAAGAUCCUGAACAAAUUGAAUUGGCCAUUUGAGUAGUUUUUCUGUUCAAUCUAUUGGUAUCUCUGGUCACUCCAACAAGGCCUUGAUUAGGAUAACAUCUCUUUCAUGCAACAGUUACUGAUAGUCAGUGCUAAGACAUCAUCCGGUCUACUGCAUCUGAACCAACAACAUUGAGAUUUUGAAGAGUGAGGACAAACAUCAAAUUUCUACAGAGGAAAAUAGUCACUCAAUAAAGUAGUGUAAUCCAUUGCUUUAAUAUUGUCUGAUAUUGACUCAGUUUUAACCGCACAACCUUCUAAUUCUAGCUUCUAUACUAACUCAAUUCAUGCUCUGUAUAUUUCUCUAUCAUUGUACAUAAAGAGACACAAAAUUUCUCUACGUUUACGUACACGAAUUAAUAAUAUGGCUGGAAAGAACUACCUAUGGGAUUUGUUGAUUUCGCCACAGGUUAUUUAGCUGUCGAUUUGCACUUGUCUCAUCCAACUUUGCCAUGUCAAUCCUGUAUCCUCCAGUAUUCGGAUGACCUGCUUCUUUACCCAGAGACUGAAAAGACUUCAUACUGGAUUCCUUGGCCCCAUGGAUACAUUUGGCCGAGACAGGUCACAGGACAUUCCUUGCCGAGCUUCAAUUCUGCUGAGAAUCUGUCAACUACCUUGAAUACAUCUUGAGAGCUGGGUGCAGAUAUCUCUCUCCUGAUUGUGUGACAGCCAUAAAGGACACUGAAGGACCAUGUUAAAAAAAAAAAAAAGAACAAACCUGAACAGGUAUCCCUUCUGCGUCUGGUGGACUAUAGUCAAGCAUGGCUGGUAAUUAUGCCGUCCAUGAUCCUAUGCUCCAAGAGUCAACGCCCUAGGAUGCACUGGACAUUAUGAACUGGACUAAUGGCAUGAAACACGUCUUUCGUUGUAUCGAAUAUUUUCUCUGCACUGCUCCAACAUCAAGAUUUCCGGAGUACAACCUGGGCUUUCACCUUCGUAUGGCGGAUGACAAGAGUCCCCACUGCUGUUCUGACGAGGGUGCUUGAUUAAGGAUUGAGACCUGUUGUCUAUUAUUCCAAAUCCCCAACGAUACUUGUUCAAAUGAUAGUCUCAUGUUUGCGAGCUAUGAUGGCUGUGGCGAUUACGUUUAAAUAGGCACAGACUACAGUGUUACGAUAUCCACUAAUACAGCAUGCUAUACACACAGUGAAUGUUGGUCACCGCAACAUAAUCACACAGCAUAUCAGUCUGAGGUGAUGAACCUAAAAACGCAUGUUAGCUGAAACACCAAAACUUCCCUUUUCAACAGUCACUUAUAUUUAUCUAGUGAUACACUUGAAGUCAUUGCUGCAUGGUAACAAAGAGAUGGCUGAAAUUCCGUCACUAGAUUGCUUGAACUUAAUCAAUUCGACAUUUAGAGUAAGAGUUAAGAUGCAACAGACUCCACUGGAGAACUAUGAUUUUAUGGUUAUGCGCGUAGACCCUACAAUGGCAGGUUAUGCACUUGUUGAUAAUCAAAAUUAAGAUGUUGUAUCCUACACGCUAUUGUGAAAUGUAACAACACAUUUACUAUCUGACAAAGAAGUGACCAGAGACAACGAAAAUUAGCAGACAAUUUGCAAAAGAAAAAGCGGCACUUGAUGCACCAUUUCCUCCUUGAUUGGUUCCUAGUUCCCAUCCAUACAACCUUCUGUGCCGCCGUUUUCCGUUGAUGACUUAAUUUUGCUUUAAAGCCGGGCCACUGAUUUUAAAGUAAACAUAUAACAGAUAAAGAAGUGUAACAGGGUUGCUGAUGUAUUAUAAAAAUAUGAUGGGCAACAGAUUACGCUCCCUUAACUAGCGUACGAUUUACUCCUAGCUUACAUUCAUAGUGUCACGAAUGCAAUUUGUACAGUUGUUACUAACGACAUCUCUAUCUGUGAGUUGUUUUUCUCUCUAGGACUGGAAGGACAGCUCAACGUUUGGUGGACAUGUGAAGAAAAGGGGGUAGAAUAGUCAAACAAUCCAAAGGCUAAUGACUCAUGUCAAAAGAACUAUGACUAGGAAGAUGCAUGUGCCUCUUUAUGGAUUGCUUAAACUGCUAGGUUUGACCAAGAAAGAGAAGAAACCUCAGAUAAAAAUGUUAACAAUUACCAAUUCGUCAUAAGGCCUGCUAAAAUUUACACUAGAUUUUUAGUCUUAGCAGCCAAAUCUCUCAAGGAUUCCAGAGAACUUCCAUUUUCUGUACACUAAUCAUAAUCUGUUUGUGAUGUUGUCAAUACGUCUUUUGUGCAGGAUCCAGUCCAAACAGCGUAUGCCCUUAUCUCUUCCCCAUUCAAAUGGAAACCGUGGGUCUCCGAUUCUGAGUCAUCUGAGUCAUCAGGAGAUUCCAACGAUGGGAUGGCAUAUAUCCUGACCAUAUAUGAUGUUCCCCAUGUGAUCACAGUGUCGGUCACCAUUUCAGAGAUUCUAGUGUAAAAGUAUCAUUCUCCACCACGUAUUAGCUGACACAAGAUACAUCACUCCACUGAGUUAAAAGAACAUGCUUUACUUUAGUUGCAAUAUAAAAUUAUCACCUAGAUUACUUUCAGGUGGAUUGAUAAGUUCUGUUUUCGCGGCUUUUGUUCAUGGUUUUGUAGGGUUUAGCUGGUUCAAUUGUUGAUCUAGGGUAGAGGGUGGCCUCAAAUCUGACGGCCCUUUGUGGGCUGGUUUGGGUGGCUGACCCUUCUUAUGUUUGUUUCAUCAAUCCACUCUUUUGUUUUAAGUGACCCUGGUCACCAGUCUUAUUUAUCAUCUGUUCCAGCAGCAAUUAUUUAUGAACAAUUGGCAUGUUUAAAGAAAAAAAAAAAAAAAAAAAAAAAAGUGAGGACUGUUAGGAUGAGUUUCUUUAGCCAGUCAUGUCAGCCUUUAGAGUGGUGGAGCUGUGUCACUCAAAUACCCCAGACACUUUGGUGUUAGAUUGCUGGAGCCGGGGGCCUCCUACAACCAUCCCUGAGCAAGGAACCCUGUACACAUUAUUUACACCAUGUAGGUCCCCAAAAUAUGUUUGCCAUGAUAUUUCCUUCUUGGGACCUUCCACAUGUUCAUCUAAGGCUUUUGAAAUAUGUUGUCCUUUGUUUUUACCAUACAUGGUUUUCUCUUAGGGUCAACUAAAUACCAACAGUAUGUUUAGGAUUGUGAAUCGCUAUAUAUACUUGAAUGGUCUUGGACCACUCUUGGCUACACUCAUGUUGGCCACACUUGGGGGUGGACCGCUUUUUGCUACACUUGGGGUGGUCACUCUUUGCUACACUUGGAGAGGACCACUGUUGGUCACACUUGUGGCCUGCUGAAGCUGUAACCCAGAUAUGUAAUCAGUAAAGCUUGUCAAAAUGAUCAUUCGUGUGGACCUUCGAUUCUUUCUAGUGUGAACCUGGGCUAGGCAUCCUUACAGUCAUUGAUCGGUUUGUGGUGCCAAAUCCACAGGGAGAACUAUUUCACAUCCAAAGAACUUUAAUGUGAUCUCAUUACAGAUACUUUUAUUCUCUUCUUACUCACUUUGCUUUUAGCUUCAAUUUGUUAAUUACAACACAAUUAAAGUCCCAAAUUAACGUGUUGGUAACGUGUUGGUAACUUGUUGUUUUUUUUUACUAUCACAAAAACCUUGUGAUUUUUUAGAUUUCUACUUGUUCACAAUUUGAAUAUUUUUGAUAAAAUCUGCAGUUUAACUUCUACUAAAAUACAGCAAUUAACCACAACAACAACACUCAUCUGACAGCCCCGGUGAUUCAUCAGCAGUCGUGUUUUUGUGACCAAAACGAAUUCAGUCUUCUGCAUGUAAUUGUCUCUUUCAUCUAUGCCAUUACCUGUGCAGUAUGUACAAACAGUUUGUCCCAAUUUUCCAGACCUUAUCACUCAAAUCUCUUUCCUUUCCUUUACUCCUUUCCUUUCGUUUCCUUUCGUUUCCUUUCCUUUUUCCCUCCAGCACAGGGAUACUGACCUCUUGACCUCUUAUAUAUAUAAGUAUAUUUAUACUCCCACUCCCAUCCUGUUCAAUGCUGUGCUCUUGUUGUUGAAUUGUAAAGAGCGGUUUCAGUUCUGGCAGCCUUAAUGGAGGCCUGCAGGGACGGUCCGACUGUAUUCUGUCUGUUCUCUAAAUACUCAGAUUUAAUUCAAUCUGCAGCUCAGAUUAUCCCUCUGAACACAGACCUCAAACUGGACCAGCUCCUGCAGAACACCCAACAUUACUGCUACAAGUUUCUGCCCUGACAGAUGAGGACAGAGAGAGAAUGAGAGGAGGAGGAGGAAGAGGAAGAGAGGAGGAAGAUUAGAGAGCGAAAAGGAGGAGGAAGGAGGAAACAGAAAGUAGGAGGAAAAGAUGGAUGAGUGAGGGAAGAGGAGGAAAUGGAGACUUUGGUGCUGCAGUGAUGAGUUCAGCCUCCAGACCUACACACACACACACACACACACACACACACACACACACACACACACACGCACGCACACACACAAACUCUGCAGUCAUGGUUGAGCUAACAAAGGCACUAGCCUCGGUCCUCAUCUCUCAGGAGAUGAACUGGAGCUGAUAAAUUUAGCAAAAACACAACUCCCCUCGGGCCACACUAACACACACAGCAAACACACACACACAAACACACACACACGCACACACACACACAGCGCCCCCAUCUCUGCCUCCUCUUUGUACGUGUGAGUUUCUUAAAAAGGACACAAGGAUCCAUUCAGAGGUCAAAACCUGACAAGUGAAGGAGAGACUGAGGAUGAAAGGAAGGAAGGAAAGGAUGUAAGGUGACAGAGGAAGGACAGAGGAGAGAAUAAGAAGGAGGAAAGAGCGGACAUGGUUGAAACUGGUUUAAUUUGGUGCGAAUCGGAUCAGCUUGGUGUUCUGGAAGUUUCUACUCCAUGACCCUGUUUUUAAGGAACGCUGGCUCAGCAGAUUUAAUUUUAGGGCGUUUCAUCUUCACAGAAAACCGACUGAAGACUGAAGGAGGACAGAUAAAUAUGGAGGUUAGAGCCGAUCAGACGUUCGGCCGAGUCUAUUCUUAAAUCAAACACAGAUUUUAUCUCUCGUCACAUAAUGAGGAGAUAAAACUUGGAGCAGGACGAGUAAAACAGAGAGAAUAUUUAACGAGGAUUAACGGAUAAUACGGGUCAACACACAGCCUCAGAAUCCAUCGCGGAUUAUUAUUAAAAAGCAUCAUAUUUUUGUUAAUUAGUAUCAUAAAAUAAGGUAUUUUCUGGACUUUUCAGGUAAACUAGACCGUUUUCACUCAAAACACUUACAAAACCCGAUUCCAUUGAAGUUGGGAAAUUGUGAUAAACGUAAAUAACUCAUAAACUUUAUUUAUUUUUUGUGAAUAAUAAUUAACUCAGAAUUUCAUGGCCAAAGUAAUUUGGACAGGGGCAUGUUAAUCACUAUGUUCCAUCACCUUUCCUUUUAACAACACUCAAUAAACAUUUGUGAACUGAGGAACUAAUUGUUGAAGCUUUGAAGGUGAAAUUCUUUCCCAUUCUCGCUUGAUGUUCAGCUUCAGUUGUCCAACAGUCCGGGGUCUCCGUUGUCGUAUUUUACGCUUCAUAAUGCACCACACAUUUUCAAUGGAAGACAGGUCUGGACUGCAGGCAGGCCAGUCGAGUACCCACACUCUUUUACUACGAAGCCACGUUGUUGUAACACAUGCAGAAUGUGGUUUGGCGUUGUGUCACUGAAAUAAGCAGGAGGGGCGUCCGUGAAAAAGACGUUGCUUGAAUGGCGGCAUAUGUUACUCCAAAACCUGUAUGUACCUUUCAGCAUUAAUGUUGCCUUCACAGAUGUGUGAGUUACCCAUGCUUUGGGCACUAAUGCACCCCCAUACCAUCAUAGAUGCUGGUUUUGAACUUUGCAUAGAUAACAGUCCAGAUGGAUCAUCGACGUCCACUAUUUCCAAAAACAAUUCUAAAUAUGGACUCGUCAGACCACAGAACACUUUUCCACUUUGCAUCAGUCCAUCUUAGAUGAGCUCGGGUCCAGAGAAGCCGGCAACGUUUCUCGAUGUUGUUGAUAAAUGGCUUUCUCUUUUCAUAGUAGAGUUUUAACUUACAGUUGUAGCGAUAAACUGUAUUUACUGACAGUGUUUUUCUGAAGUGUUCCUGAGCCCAUGUGGUGAUAUCCUUUACACAUUGAUGUCAGUUUUUGAUACAGCGCCCCCUGACGGAUCGAAGGUCACUGGCAUUCAAUGUUGGUUUCCGGCUGUGACGCUUACAAGCAGUGAUUUCUCCAGAUUCUCUGAUCCUUUUCAUGAUAUUAUGGACCGUAGAUGUUGAAAUCCCUAAAUUCCUUGCAAUUGUACUUUAAGAAGGCGCCCACCUGUUCCCUAUAAGCCUGCUCACCUGUGGGAUGUUCCAAAUAGGUGUUUGAUGAGCAUCCCUCAAAUUUCUCUGUAUUUUUUGCCACCGUUCCUAAACUACUUUGCUGCUAUCAAAUUCUAAAGUUCAUUAUUAUUUGCAAAAACAAUCAAUUUUAUGAGUUUGAACAUUAAAUAUCUUAUCUUUGUAGUGUAGAAAUUGAAUAUAGGUUGAAAAGGGUUCUUCCCAACUUCAUUGGAAUUGGGUUUUGUACUUUGAUUCGAGUUUUUUGCAGCGUUGUAAUUCCUCCGACUAUUUUUAAACAUUAGUCCAAGUUUAUCUUGACGCUUUUUGAUGAAACUGAACAUCUCCUAAAAACACAAGCCUCACUACAUCCACCUACACGAAGUAAACACAUUUAAACACCCAAAAUCCUCUUCAAUACUCCAUUCACCCGGAGAGUAAAACUGUUUUGGUUUCAUUCUGUUAUUUAGUGAAAUUUCUGCCAACACCAACACUGAGUGGUGAAUUACUCCUUUCUUCUCCGAGCCUCAGAAACUGACACUGAGAAAAUAAACCUCAGCGUGUCUUUAAAGACAAAAUGAAAUGUGUGUUUUUUUAGAUAAUCCAUAAACCCGUCAACAGUUUCACUGGAGGAAGUCCAGCUGAGCGUAAUCCCAAUAAAAACUGCCCACAGAGUUGAAACCAAAGAGAAGAGAGAAACAGAGAAAAUAGUUUGAAGUCAAUAAAAAAGAGAAACCCACUGAAUCGAAACGUUUAAUCCAGAGAUUAUUUGUGUCUCAUGUUAAGUUUAAACACAGUGAGAUAAAGUGUUUUAGUUUUAUUGUGAACCUUGAUCAAACACACACAGAGGCUGAAAAUAAGAUGUCAGGAGGAGAGGAGAUGGAUCUGGUGAAUUAAACCUUUUUUUUUUAACUUUCUGAUGCAACUCUCCAAAACAAAACUGUAAGUCAUCUGUGGAAAUGAUUCUUGCGUCACUCGCUCUGUCAAAGAUUGUUGUUUUGUUAUUCCUAGUAUACGCGCUCAUGUUUAUAUGAAUCCUGUAAGAGUGUGGAGAGAGAGAGGAAAGGGUUAAACGCAGAGAACCGUUCUCCCGGUUCUCUGGAGGAUCUUCAGAACAAACCGUCUGUUUGUGGGUAAAUAAAAGUGAAACUGCUUUGAAUCCUCUGAGCUCAGCCCCGAGAGUAAUCCUUCACACCACCGAGCGAGAAACAAACAGUGAGAGAGAGAAACAGAGAGAUAAAGAGAGAGAGAGAGAGAGAGAGGGGGGUGAUAAGAGGUGUAGAGGAGGAGGAGGAAGAUGAAAGAGGAGGAGAGGAAAGACGAAGCUUUGCAGUCAGAUUUUCUCCGUAAUGAGUUUCUUGUGUUUCAUGUUUAUGUUCAAACAUCCAGAAAGCAGUGAUGGUCUCCUGCAGCGUGUGCACGUGCCCCGACUAAAGGUGCUCUACAGGGGGGUCAGUCUUAAAAGGUACACUGGUGUUUAAUUUAGUAUCUGUGUAAAUAUUCAUGGUCAUUGUGUAAACAGCAGGUGCAGCUUAAAGGAGGAUUCAGAAACAGACAUCAUUCACUUUAAAGGUGUGGUAGUCAGGAUCUGAGUUAGUUCCAGUUUUUAGGAGAAAUCUUGAAUGUAAACUCUACCCCUCCAACCAGUUUUCCCCUCAGCUCCUCCUCUCCCCUCAAGCCCCGCCCACAAACAGUCACUCCUGCCCAGUCAAGGUGAAAGUCAAAAGCAUUGGUGCUACUGUAGAUGCCAACAGACUACCAGCAAACGCAAUGUUUGCAGGACUUCUACAACGAGGAUAAAGUGACAUAGUCCAGGACCCGAGGGAGGACAGUUUAGCGAUGGCGCUACAACACGCUACAGCAGGUCCGUUUGACAAGAAACACUUCUGUUACAGACACUUGUCUUACUUUGUUAAAGCGGUUUACCUGUCCAGCAGAAAGGUUUCAGGGUCACCAAGAUCCCCAAGCGUCCCCCAUCGUUUAUGUUGACCCGGCUUUUUAGCUCUUGUCCGGUCUACCUCUGUUUUAAGCGCCCGUUAUUCCUCCAGAGUCUCCGGUAUUUACUUUGUUUUCUUGCUUGUGUUUUCCGAACUUUCUGGUUGAUUUCUACUGUCCGAUAUUGUAGCACGCUAACUUUGUUUGGGCUUGUGAACGUUACUCAAGGACGUGGUCCAUGCCUCACAAUACGAGGGAGCCAAUCAGGUUGGGGGAGGCGGAGAACGGCUUUGUUUAAAUUCAGAAAGAGCGGACAGUUAAGAUUUAAAAUGUUGACUACACAGGCAUAACAAAACAAAAAUCGUUAUAUUACCAAAAUCAUCAAUGACUAAUAACUAUUGACUGAUAUUAAAAGCUUUUUUGUAUGAACAACACAAAAAAAGAUGCUUCUUUAAUGGAUUCCUGCCGACCCCACCUCUAAGUCAUAAUGUGGUGAAAUUCAAACCUUAUUGUUAUGAGAUUAAAAGUCAUAUUUUUGAGAAUUAAAGUGAUAUUGUAUCGAGAAUAAAGUCCAUUCAGUCAAAGAUUAGCCUCAUAAUGCUGUUUUGAAUCGAGAUAUCAUAUCCAAUCUUUCUGCUCAGUCUUCCCAGAGUCUUGAUUCUUGUUUAAACGUGGUGCUGAUGUUUUUACAGGCUAAGUUAUUUUGUUUUUAGCGAAUCUUAAACUCAAGUCCAAUUUAACAAGAUGCUCCAUGUUCCUCAUUUGGGCCUCACAGGCAGCUGGCUGAUCAGGAUUUUAUUCUAACGAGGAGUUAGAAGAAAGUUUUCACUGCGGCGCUGUUACUCCAUCAAAUACCAUAUUCGCUCACGCAGUCCCUCACAGAGCCGUUAACCUCUUCCCAUCUGUGUUUUGUCCCAUCUGUCUCCAAACAUGCUGUCGCCAUCGAAUUUGAAAUGUGCGUAAUUUUAAUAUGGGUUGAGUUUCCCCUGAUGGCCUGAGGAUCUAGUUACUGUACAUCCUGCUCUUAUUGCUCUCCAUAUUCUGCUGAUUUGUACUCCGACUACAAACGUACAACAAACAGAAACUGGAGCACUUCUCUCCCACUAUAAUCCAGACUCCAGAGUACAGAUUUCUAUGUGGGAACCUUUAAAUAGAGAUUUCCUGACAGCAGCUCAGCAGCAGACAAUAAAGCCUCCUCCUCGUGUUCAGCAGACUGACAGCGGUCUGUUGUUUGUGUUGCCGUGUGUGUCUCUGAGAUGAUAUCAGCCUCAUUAAAGGAGUUUGGUUUCAGACACUGUCGGCUCGUCUUCACUGACGUUUCCUGCGCCACUGUAAAGACAUAAAAAACAUGAAGUUUAGCCAACUUAUGUCCAAUAAUGAGGAAGAUCUUCGUCUGUAGGACUUUGCGUAUUUAGACGCACACACGUUGAACGCCGCCGUAAUGACGCCGCCGAGACUGUUUAGGACGAUUUAACAGGGAAAUUAGAAACGCAUUUUCUUAAUCAGCCGUUGUUUUAAAGGUAUGAAUGAAAAUGAUGAAAUAAUGGAGAAACAAUGAGGAGACAAAAGCAGCGAGGGGAUAUUUCGUUACCAUGGAAACCGUCUUCAAAAAAAAAAACCACACAUUCGCUCACACACCCACACCUGCUCAGCGUGUAAUAAUGACAGUCAAUCAGAACAGCGGAGGGUCAUAAUGGGUUUGUUUCAGGAACAUUCAGAGGACAGACACACACAAGUACACACACACACUCACACACAGACCCUAAUCAGGGAGUCUGUUACCGUGACAACAUGAGGAAGAGGAGCUGGUCCUUAUCUCUGAUCUUCUCACUGAUAGAGACUCCAGGUGAAUAUUCAGGUGCGACCUCUCAGCCAAUCAGCUGCCUGUUGGAGGUUUUACUCCAUGAUACGGAUUUAAUCUGCACAUAAUCUACUUCAGGAGGACUGAUUAUAAUCCUCAUCCCCAAAAAAUGACUUUUAAAUACCCGAUUAACAUCUUCUCAAAUUGAGUCUUCGACAGGUGAGCGCUCAGGUGUAAUUUGGCGUGAUUUCUGAUUAUCUAGUUACAUUAUUGUCCUUUCUGUUUAUAUGGAAGAGGCAGGCUCUGACCACCAGGGGGAGCUCUCUUUAGAUUUCACCCUCACUUUAGGGGAGUGACUGUGCUGUUCAUCUUUUACAGAGUCAGAGAUGCAGAUGGAGAGUGUAAAUCUCAGAGAGCUCAGAUGGAGACAGACACGGUCCAGAUUAACCAAACUCAGAUUAUAAAGUUUGAAAGUUUAUGUCUGAUUCACACAGUUUAAAUCUAAGAGAAGAAGAAGAAAUAAGGCGUGGCUGUAACUUAAUUAACAUUACAGUAUGGCAGUGCUUCCAGCUGAGUGUGUGUGUUGUGUAAGUUUGCGUGUUUCACAUUCCUCUGCACAGAAACAGCUAAUUGAAAACAGUCAAUCAUCGAUAAUCUCAACUGUGUGUGUCUGCUCUCUCAGCAUGGAGUCUGCGCACUGCUGCCCACACAGAUCCUCUAUGUCCGACAGGAGGGCUCACUCUGAGGGGAAACAGAGAAACAGACUUUAUCAGGCUGUUUUAUAUUUUAGAGGGAAAUGUUUUAGACAUUAAAACUCUUUAUUUUUAUCUCUUAUCAUACACUUUAAAACUUUUAUCAGUUUUAGCUGGAAAAACUCUAAUAUUCAGAAUUUAAAUGAUGUUCAGUUCAACAGCUCAAAUGUGAGUGUGUAUGAUAGCUUAAGAAAACAGCUUCUAAAUAAAAUUUAAAUGCACUUUUCGUGAUGAUUUCUGUCUCUGUUAAAAAAACUUCAACACCACUUUGCUCUUACAUACGACUGUUUCAGGGCAAGAUAUUUGCUCCCUUAUUUUCUGCACUGUGAAAACAGUGGAGGAGUAAUGGCGGUGCAAAGUUUGUGGUCCUCCCUCAAAGGUUGUAUCAGAGGCUUUUAGGGAGAAGGUGGUGGUUAGGUGUUGCCUUAAAGGGAUAUUCCGGCG